AUUGAACGCUGGCGGAAUGCUUUACACAUGCAAGUCGAACGGUAGAGGGGGCAACCCCUUGAGAGUGGCGAACGGGUGAGUAAUACAUCGGGACAUGCCCAGUCGUGGGGGAUAACGUAGCGAAAGCUACGCUAAUACCGCAUACGAUCUAUGGACGAAAGCGGGGGACCGAAAGGCCUCGCGCGAUUGGAGUGGCCGAUGGCAGAUUAGGUAGUUGGUGGGGUAAAGGCCUACCAAGCCUGCGAUCUGUAGCUGGUCUGAGAGGACGACCAGCCACGCUGGGACUGAGACACGGCCCAGACUCCUACGGGAGGCAGCAGUGGGGAAUUUUGGACAAUGGGCGCAAGCCUGAUCCAGCCAUUCCGCGUGCAGGAUGAAGGCCCUCGGGUUGUAAACUGCUUUUGUACGGAACGAAAAGGUGGCCUCUAAUACAGGUUGCUGAUGACGGUACCGUAAGAAUAAGCACCGGCUAACUACGUGCCAGCCGCCGCCGUAA
RNAcentral lists this ribosomal RNA (496 nucleotides) under uncultured bacterium. Its description in RNAcentral is "partial 16S ribosomal RNA". It matches the Rfam family "Bacterial small subunit ribosomal RNA", at positions 30 to 523 of the family's 1533-position model. The record is from RNAcentral.